UUUGAAGAAAACAAAAACUAAAAAGCAGGAGUUGAAUGAUAAGCAUUCGAAACACAUAGCUAAAUAUCAUUAUUAAAAAAAAAAAAGUAAUAAUAAAAUAUCAAAACAUGUCGUUUCAUGGAAAUAUGGUAUCAAAUCCAUCGCAAUAGCUUAUUUCAUUUUAAAAGCACGCAGCAGAAAAAUAUGCAAAACAUGGCAAAAGGUGCGAUCACUAACAUUACAUUAUUAAAGGAAAACGGUGCGAGCUGGCGCAUCUUCAAAGGUGAAGACUUUUGAGUUGUGAUAGACCUAAAAUCUAAGCCAUGCAAAUGGAAGUAUCAGCCCAAAUUACAAGAAAGCCUUUAGCAGAUCAGCAAUUAGCGAAGCCUUUAUUCUUCUUUUUUUUGGGGUAUCUACAGAGUAUUAAAACACGAAAAGAAAAGAGUAUGAUAGCAGAUGCAGAGUGUGUAAAAGAAGCGUGUGAAUAGUGAAUAGUAAUCGGCAUAACGCAGAGCUACACAGACACCUGCCUGCUGAAGGGUUACUUGUGGAUCUAAACAAAGCCUAAUAAUAAAAGAGUGUGUUGAAACGUGUUUAGAUUGCCUGGUGGUACUAAUAUCAAAAUGAGGAUCCAUGCAACUCGUACAUUUUGCGUGUGGGAAACGUAUGUCUGUAUAUGCCUGACUAAGUACACUGCCAAAUAGGAUGAGAAUGAAAUGGCCGUAAUAUACCAAGAAAAUCAGAGAUUGCAACCAGGUGUAGCUAUAUAAAAUAUCAUUAAUGUUUUAGUUUUAUCCCCAAUUGCGAACAAAUGAUUUACAGAUGGGUCAAGGAUGAAGAAACAUGCUAACUUAUUUAUGUACCAAAUGGAUGGUGAACUAGAGGUGCGAACCUAGGCACCAUUAGAUUAUUAGCAAUUGGUUUAAGGUGUUCAACUUGUUAUUCAAUAAGAAUUUUAAUUAGUUUUCUUGUAUAUAGUUUAUAAUGGAAUAGAUUCACUGUUACAAGCAAGAUUCCAUCUUAUUUAGAAGCUUUAUAGAAAAAGACUUCAAAUAUAAAGGAGGAGACUUCCUUUCAAUUUUCCUUUUUUUAAUACAAAUAAAAUUGAGUGUGAAAGUUGUG
RNAcentral lists this long non-coding RNA (1101 nucleotides) under Ricinus communis (castor bean). Its description in RNAcentral is "long non-coding RNA (RCOM_LNC000068)". Lineage: Eukaryota; Viridiplantae; Streptophyta; Magnoliopsida; Malpighiales; Euphorbiaceae. The record is from RNAcentral.